GUGCCUGGAUUCAUUGGGA
Molecule: small nuclear RNA, 19 nt
Filed under: Arabidopsis thaliana (thale cress)
Lineage: Eukaryota; Viridiplantae; Streptophyta; Magnoliopsida; Brassicales; Brassicaceae
Description: snRNA_13098
Source: RNAcentral